Molecule: unclassified non-coding RNA, 272 nt
Filed under: Hevea brasiliensis (rubber tree)
Lineage: Eukaryota; Viridiplantae; Streptophyta; Magnoliopsida; Malpighiales; Euphorbiaceae
Source: RNAcentral
UUAAAGGCGUGGGAGGCGCCCAGGAGAAGCGAGAGACGAGGCGAAGCGCCCCUCUUAGCACCUCCAGAGUUGACUCCUCUGGCCGGCGAGGCCAGAAACCAGGCGGGCUAGAGGCGUCGCCUCUUUAAAACAGGCAGAAUCCCUUUUUUUUUUUAAUUUUUUAAAACAAAUAUAUAAAACCCUAUACACUUACCUAUUGCCGACAAAGAAAAGGAAGACAGUGUCGCCUCCACCUCCAGAGCUGCGAGUCUAGGUAUGUCUGUCUGUCUGUC